This 305-nucleotide ribosomal RNA is filed under the name uncultured bacterium. Its description in RNAcentral is "bacterial SSU rRNA". It matches the Rfam family "Bacterial small subunit ribosomal RNA", at positions 334 to 636 of the family's 1533-position model. The record is from RNAcentral.
CGGGCCUACGGGACGCAGCAGUGAGGAAUAUUGGUCAAUGGGCGCGAGCCUGAACCAGCCAAGUCGCGUGAGGGAAGACGGUCCUAUGGAUUGUAAACCUCUUUUGUCGGGGAGCAAAAGACGCCACGCGUGGCGUUCCGAGAGUACCCGAAGAAAAAGCAUCGGCUAACUCCGUGCCAGCAGCCGCGGUAAUACGGAGGAUGCGCGCGUUAUCCGGAUUUAUUGGGUUUAAAGGGAGCGUAGGCGGAUUAUUAAUUCAGUUGUGAAAGUUUGCGGCUCCACCGUAAAAUUGCAGUUGAUACUGG